UGAGAUAUUCUGUAGAUUUGUGAUUGCUAGAUUGAAAUACGAGAAUUUUGGUUUCAAUUGCAAGAAUGCAACCUUUUAAUAUGGGUCCAUGUAGAUAUUGAUGGGCAUAAUGUAUUUUCUUGAAAGAUAGUCGCACAAUGGGUUUCAAAGAAUAUGGGACCACUAGAGGCUAUGCUUUUAGGUUAGAAAUGUAACGGCCCCAGAAAUUUAA
RNAcentral lists this long non-coding RNA (211 nucleotides) under Carica papaya (papaya). RNAcentral describes it as "long non-coding RNA (CPAP_LNC016549)". The record is from RNAcentral. Lineage: Eukaryota; Viridiplantae; Streptophyta; Magnoliopsida; Brassicales; Caricaceae.